AAAUCCUUCCUUUUGAUCACCGACCGUUGUGGCACUCCCAUGUUUGAGGAAAUCGUUAAAUCCUUAAUUAUUGGAAAUUUGUCAGUACUCCAGUCUUCUGGGUUAAUUACGAAAAGCGAUAGUACUUGGUAUUGCCGUGUAUCAUUGUGGAUACGUUUAUUUUGGGCAAUUCUUCACCUUUAGUGUGGUUUUGUUAUCGCUUAACGUUCUGAGGCUGACUGGAUUGGGAAAAAACCCUGUACGUGUAUUGCACUGCUUAUUGGUUGAAAUUGUUCAACGUAGGGAUAUUUCCGAAAAUUGUACAGAUGCACAGAUCUGGACUACAACUAUGUUAUGAAUGUUGGUCACAAAAGAAAUGCUUAAAACUUGUCACAGAAAGUAAAAAAAAAUCCAAGCAUGUACGAACAAGAAAGGAUGGAUACUGUAAAUGUGUCUAUUUAGCUUACCUUAUCUACUGGGUGGUACUCGACUAGUAGAAAUAGAACUCACCUGAAAUGUAAAAAAAAACCAUUAGUUAUUUCCUAAAGGUAACUCUAUCACAAUAUGCUAAUCAAUUCUAGUAGGUAAUACCGCGUAUUCAAAACGUUGCACGUAACAUGUUAUGAACAAGCUUUUUUGUUUAAUUCCGAUUUUUUUGUAUUUCCGGUGGCACAGAUCUAUACAGAUUUGAUGGGUAACUCAUGCUCAAAAGCGCCCUCUAUUGGGCAGCAGUAUAAACAUUUACCUACCUUUUAAAACUGUAAAAUAACGCUAUUGAAUUUAUGCAUUAGAUAUCGCUGCAAAAAAUUUAAAGUGGUUGAGUUUCCAUAAUUCGAAUACCUUAUUAUCGGUAUUAUUACAGUGAUAUGAUAUGAUGGGAACUGGGAAGUAAGUUGAGGUACUCAUUCACUUAAAAUUUUUUUCAGCGACGUCUAAUUUUACAGUUUUGAAAGGUACAUGUUUAUACUGCUGCUCAAUAGAGGGCGUGUUUAAGUAUACCUAAAUGUACCCAUGAAACGCAUAAGGUUAGCAAUCUGUUGUUCGUGUAUAUCUGUGCCAGUGGUUUGUAUGCCUGAAAAUACAAUAAAUACCUAAGACUUUCACAACAAGGAAAUUUGCCUUUAUUUUAUUUUUGAGUGGGCGGGGUUUCAGUCAAGGCUGCUCUACCAACCCAACCCACUAUACAUUUACAAAUCUGGGGAUCAAUUUCUUUCGAGCUGAAAUGUCAAGGGGGGUUCACUCAUUAGGUUAUAAGGGAAAUAUGGAAAGUUUUGUAAAUUUAUAGUAUAAUGCGCUGGAAAAAUAUUAAAUUAUACAUAACCA
Long non-coding RNA from Photinus pyralis (common eastern firefly), 1302 nucleotides. RefSeq lists it as uncharacterized. Lineage: Eukaryota; Metazoa; Arthropoda; Insecta; Coleoptera; Lampyridae. The record is from RefSeq and is a predicted model, not a curated record. The transcript has 3 exons.